UAUGAAGAUGGUCCUACUGUGAUAUUUAUGAUCUCAUUCAUCCUUAGAGUUGAUUUAAUCAAUUUGGCUGGCUGUGUUAUUAUCUACUUUCUUCAUCAGAGCAACAAGUGAGUCCAUUUCUGUUCUAAACUGACAACUGUCACAGACAAAUGAGGGACUUUCCUCACGGAAGUAUACAUAAAUAUAUUCUUAAGCCUCAGGUGGAUGCAAAGUUUCAGCCACAAUUUCUUUUUUCAUUAAUCUGUAUAACUUGAAUAUUGA
RNAcentral lists this small nuclear RNA (261 nucleotides) under Oryctolagus cuniculus (rabbit). Its description in RNAcentral is "7SK RNA". It matches the Rfam family "7SK RNA". From Rfam's summary of the family: 7SK was discovered as an abundant small nuclear RNA in the mid-70s but a possible function has only recently been suggested. Two independent studies have found that 7SK RNA binds the CDK9/cyclin T complex (known as elongation factor P-TEFb). The record is from Rfam by way of RNAcentral. Lineage: Eukaryota; Metazoa; Chordata; Mammalia; Lagomorpha; Leporidae.